Molecule: ribosomal RNA, 417 nt
Filed under: uncultured bacterium
Lineage: Bacteria
Description: bacterial SSU rRNA
Rfam family: Bacterial small subunit ribosomal RNA
Source: RNAcentral
GGGCCCGCACAAGCGGUGGAGCAUGUGGUUUAAUUCGAUGAUACGCGAGGAACCUUACCAGGGUUUAAAUGUAGAAUGACCGGGGUGGAAACACCCCUUUCUUCGGACAGACUACAAGGUGCUGCAUGGUUGUCGUCAGCUCGUGCUGUGAAGUGUCGGGUUAAGUCCCAUAACGAGCGCAACCCCCAUUUCUAGUUGCCAGCGGUUCGGCCGGGGACUCUAGAGAAACUGCCAGCGUAAGCUGUGAGGAAGGUGGGGAUGACGUCAAAUCAUCACGGCCCUUACAUCCUGGGCCACACACGUGCUACAAUGGUAGGGACAACAGGUUGCCAACCCGCGAGGGUGAGCCAAUCCCAAAACCCUAUCUCAGUUCGGAUCGGAGUCUGCAACUCGACUCCGUGAAGUUGGAAUCGCUAG